UGGGUCCGAGUUGUAAUUUGUAGAGGAUGCUCCGGGCGCGGGGGCCGGCCGAAGUCCGUUGGAACACGGCGUCAGAGAGGGUGAGAAUCCCGUCCGCGGCCGGCGCCCAAACCCACACGUAGCUCCUUCGACGAGUCGAKUUGUUUGGGAAUGCAGCUCUAAAUGGGKGGUAAAUUCCAUCUAAGGCUAAAUACCGGCCAGAGACCGAUAGCGCACAAGUAGAGUGAUCGAAAGAUGAAAAGUACUUUGGAAAGAGAGUCAAACAGUACGUGAAAGUGUUGAAAGGGAAAGCGCUUGCGAUUAGACUUGCCCGCGGKCGAUCAGCCCCGGUUCUCGGGGGUGCACUCGCCCGCGGGCAGGCCAGCAACGGUUCGGGCGACCGGACAAAGGCCGUGGGAAUGUAGCUCCCCCCGGGGAGUCUUAUAGCCCGCGGCGGCAUGUGCCCAGCCCGGCCCGAGAGGUCCGCGCUCUGCAAG
RNAcentral lists this ribosomal RNA (476 nucleotides) under Malmidea polisensis. RNAcentral describes it as "partial small subunit ribosomal RNA". It matches the Rfam family "Eukaryotic large subunit ribosomal RNA", at positions 133 to 611 of the family's 3401-position model. Lineage: Eukaryota; Fungi; Ascomycota; Lecanoromycetes; Lecanorales; Malmideaceae. The record is from RNAcentral.